Molecule: ribosomal RNA, 494 nt
Filed under: uncultured bacterium
Lineage: Bacteria
Description: partial 16S ribosomal RNA
Rfam family: Bacterial small subunit ribosomal RNA
Source: RNAcentral
GACGAACGCUGGCGGCGUGCUUAACACAUGCAAGUCGAACGGUGAAGCGCCUUCCUUUUUGGUCGGUGUGGAUGAGCGGCGAACGGGUGAGCAACACGUUAGUAACCUGCCCCCUCCUGCUGGACAACCGCAUGAAAGUGCUGCUAAUACGGGAUAUUCUGGGUCUGUCGCAUGAUGGGUCUGGGAAAGAUAUUGUGUCGGUGGGGGAUGGGCUCGCGGCCUAUCAGCUUGUUGGUGGGGUGAUGGCCUACCAAGGCGGUGACGGGUAGCCGGCCUGAGAGGGUCGGCGGCCCUGCUGGGGCUGAGACGCGCACCCGCCUCCUACGGGAGGCAGCAGUGGGGAUUCUUGCACGAUGGGCGCAAGGCUGGUGCAGCGCCGCGGCGUGAGGGAUGGAGGCCUGCGGGUUGUGAACCUCUUUCGCCAGUGAAGCAGGCCUGCCUCGUUUGUGGGUGGGUUGACGGUAGCUGGAUAAGAAGCGCCGGCUAACUACGUG